UCCUAUAGACACUUGGUAACCAAUCAGGCUACCUGAAUGCACAGCUGGCCAUAUAUGGAGCAAAGUAACUGCUGUAAGGCGAACGUAGCAGCAGCCCGGAGAGGCUCUGUCAGCUAUACGCAUGCAUCCUGUACCUUGAUGUAUAAAUAUCUCUAUACCACAUCCUCCCAAGGUAGUUGGAGCUGGGUGUAACAUGCUGAUGCUCUUGCGUGUAUGACCUGUCUCUGUAUCGAUACAAUAAACAACUCUUAAGAAUACCUGGUUCUGUCUCACUUGGAGAUAAGUCCGGUUGGACAACCUAACCCAUCAUCCACAUCAAUUGGCGAGCCAGGCAGGAGCAGAAAGUCUGACUGGUCGCGUGAGGCCAGCUCGGCCCGCUGCGGCCCAGUGGGCGCCCAGUAGAUAUUUCUACAAGUCACAGCCGUCGGCGGGACGUGUCUUCCUCCACUUCCACCAAAGGACGAGGCUCCUGACAGUUACAGAAACAAUUUCAGGUAUUGCGGACGUAUGCCCAAGAUGCUCAAUCCCUGCCACUAGAUGUCGCUGCGCACCUACUGAAACCCAGAGAUGCUGUGUGGAUCCGCAAGAUACCUGCUCGCCCAGGCGAACCGAAGUUGGAGGGCCCGUGCCCUAUCCUCCUUACUACACACUCAGCUGUUCGAGUGAAAGGAGUCAACACCUGGAUCCACUAUACUCAUUGCAGCAAACAGCCACCAGUAGAAGGCCUCACAGCGAAGGUGAGCCUCCGAGGGAGCACCGCCAGCCUCCCUACGGACCCACAGGACGAAAAGAGGCCAGAAACAGACGAAGCAAGAUACUCUUGCCACCACGACCCUGACAAACCCCUCACCCUCAUCCUUCGCAGAACCACCUCCCUGUGACAAAUGGACCACACGUGGGAGUAGUUCCUCAUUAGCCUGUCAUGGAAUUACAUGACAGUCCAGUGUGACAUUGCGUGCUGCCCUCCAGACAUAUCAAAGUGUGGCCCUUCUAACUAUACCACUCCAGGGUACUGGUCACGAACCGUAGUUGGGCCAGUCCCAAAGGGGGGACACAAUGAUUGUCGUGGCCAACAAGAAUUGCAAAGACACCAAAGAGAAGGCUGCCUCAAGGUAGCACACAUCACGGCCCAUACUUGCACCGAAAAUGAUUCACAUGUAUAGAUACAAGAGCAAUAUGAGCACGCUUAGCCAAUACAGUAUUGGAACAUUUAUAUGAGUACAAGCCUAGAGUGGGCCACAGCAAUGGUCAUACGCUGUUCCGCCACAAUGCAGCACAAGGUCGUUAUCCCUUCAAACUUAUAUGGUCCACCUUCAAGAAAGUUGGACAAUUUUAUGUAGUGAGACUGCGGGUUACCGGUAACGCCCAGCUCUGAAUCCCAAAUCAGCAACUGCGACCUAUAACAAAGCCGAACAGAAGUAGAAAGCUCAGUUGUCAAAAAAAAAUACAGCUUUGCAGCGCCCUUCUGGUGCCCAAAAUUAAAAUGUAUGCACAAACAUGACCAUGAGGCCAGCAGAUCUUGACUUACACAAGUAUCAAUAUCUCUGCCUCAUUCAGUUUAAAGUUUCCCCCAACCUUACUGAAAGAACGAGCUAGAAAAAGCAAGGGAAAUCCAUCUCCUGGAUGCAGAAGCCGGGGACAAAAAGAUUGGUUCUCAUUCGAGCCUCUGGCUCCUGAGAACGCGAUCAUGUCCACCGUAGAGGUUAUCCAGUCUACCUUGCAUUUAAAACAAACAAACAAACUGUUUUGUGUGUCUUAAUGCUGGAGCUGGGCGACCUGGGUCUCCAGUGCCAUGGAGAAUCCAGCCACUCCAAUUAUAGAAAAAUCCUGAGAAAAAAUAGCUCAAGACAUCAGGGAUGUCACAUACCUCCUGUCCAGACCUGGAAAACCUGGGAUGUCUAGAGUUAGCUCACCAGUUGGCUGCCAGAUUGGCCCUGGUUGGAGCAGAUAGUAGUCAUCAGGUUAGCAGUCCUUUUGAUCAUCCUCUGCCUCCCGUGAGUAGGUAGAUACAGCUGUUUAAGUUGAUGGUGGACCUGCACCCGCUGGGUUAGGUCCAAAGGGGGGACUGAUGUGGGGGUCUGUAUCAUCUGAAGGCCCUGAUCAUGUCCUAUAGACACUUGGUAACCAAUCAGGCUACCUGAAUGCACAGCUGGCCAUAUAUGGAGCAAAGUAACUGCUGUAAGGCGAACGUAGCAGCAGCCCGGAGAGGCUCUGUCAGCUAUACGCAUGCAUCCUGUACCUUGAUGUAUAAAUAUCUCUAUACCACAUCCUCCCAAGGUAGUUGGAGCUGGGUGUAACAUGCUGAUGCUCUUGCGUGUAUGACCUGUCUCUGUAUCGAUACAAUAAACAACUCUUAAGAA
Molecule: long non-coding RNA, 2360 nt
Organism: Elgaria multicarinata webbii
Lineage: Eukaryota; Metazoa; Chordata; Lepidosauria; Squamata; Anguidae
Exons: 2
Source: RefSeq, a predicted model, not a curated record